ACCCUAACAGCUAAUGAGAGGAAGCACAGGUUUCCCAGGGCAGCCUCGUGGCAUUUCUCUGUGAAUAGGUAAAAAGGAGAUGAGAGUAAUUCAAGCUAAGGGAGCAAACAGCAGGGACAGAGCGUCCCUCCCUCCCUGUCUGUAGAAAUCAGCAGAUAGCACACCUGCUGCUGCUCAAGCUCCCUCUGCCAAGCAGAGCAGCACAGCUGCAAGACACUGCUUCUGGCCGGCUGCUCUGAGCUCUGCCUGUCUUCUGGGAUGGAGCCCCGCCCAAGGCAAGUUCAACUGGGUUCUUUGGCAGCUGAAGUCUACACGGACCCAGCAGGGAGCGGCGGAGAAAAGUGCCUACUUUGAUGACUUAUUACCCUAGUGCCUUUGAUCUCCACUGUAGAAAAUGCUCUGCUCCAUUUCAGAACAGAUUGCCAUGUGCCCCAUUCUCUGGCCUGUGGAGCAAACCAGCGACAGACCUCACAGAUAGAAAUCCACCAUUGGCCAUUCACAAAGAGAGUUCUCCUAGUAAGGGGAGUGAAUGUGAUGAUCCAUAUUUCCUGGAAAAUCUUCCUAGAGGCCUGAGAUGAUAAAUAUUGCCUGUUCCAGAACAGGUCAACUCUAGCCCAGUUUACCCUCAAGUGCUAUCUAGAAGAUGUGGUUUUACUGGUCCCAGUUUUUCACAUACUUCUCAACCAGUAAGGCCUCACCAGGCAGAGGCUCCCCAUUGACCCUUCACUGCUGGACUCGAUCUUUUCUCAAGCAUGCUUGGUUACAUCUUGGUCUAUGCCAACUAAAUAAGAUGUGUGGGUGUUCAAGGAUGGAAGUAUCCUAUCUUGCAUGGUUAGCUUGGGGAUGGUAUUCAGUCUUCUCCAUGUAAUUCUUAUCUUAGAUAUAGCUGGGAUUUUACACUUCUCAAUACAAUCUCAUCUACAUUAUCUAAUUUGAUUCUUGUACAAACUUGGUGUAAUAUGCUCUUAUUGUAGAUUCAUCAUUUAUCCACCAAACAGAAGUGAGCCAUGCUAAGCUAGAUAUUGAGGACACAGUUUUGAAGAAGUGAUGUUCUCUGCCUUCAAGGAGAUUAUAGGCCAGUGAAGAAUAAAGAUAUGUAAAUGAGCAAUUGUAUUAUAGGGAAAUAACUGCUAUAACAGGGCUCCAUGGGAAAGCAUAAGAGAGAUAACAAUGUUUUGAGACCCAGAAGGCACUGUUGAUGUAAACCACUUGGCCUUUACCAUAUCAGUGCAUGCUGUUCUAUCUUUCAACAACCAGUACCUUUAUCUCUUUACCUAAAAGGGCUUUCUUUGGUCAUCCAGGCUAUUCAUCCCUUGACCAAGGACAGGUAAGCGUUACUGUACAAAUACCCCAGCUCCCUUGCUCCUCAGAUGGGUGACUCUAGGUGCAUGCCCCAUACUGUUUUCUAUACUUUCCCAUUUGGAUCAACCAGUUUCCCACAGUGAUAACACUCAGUUAGCUUCUUGUCCUCCCUAUCUCACUUUGGCACUCUCUGUGUUUCCUGGGAUCACAUUCCAAAUAAACUACUUGAACUCUAAUCCAUAUCUUAAAAUCACCUUCUGGAAGGACCCAAUAAGAGGGGAAAAAAUCAAUAAAGUAUCUUUUAAAGAU
This 1611-nucleotide long non-coding RNA is filed under the name Equus caballus (horse). RNAcentral describes it as "lncRNA (ENSECAG00000034161.3)". The record is from RNAcentral. Lineage: Eukaryota; Metazoa; Chordata; Mammalia; Perissodactyla; Equidae.